UACGGAGGGUGCAAGCGUUAUCCGGAUUCACUGGGUUUAAAGGGUGCGUAGGUGGGUUGGUAAGUCCGUGGUGAAAUCUCCGAGCUUAACUCGGAAACUGCCGUGGAUACUAUCAAUCUUGAAUACUGUGGAGGUAAGCGGAAUAUGUCAUGUAGCGGUGAAAUGCUUAGAUAUGACAUAGAACACCGAUAGCGGAGGCAGCUUGCUACACAGUCAUUGACACUGAGGCACGAAAGCGUGGGUAGCAAACAGG
Molecule: ribosomal RNA, 253 nt
Filed under: uncultured bacterium
Lineage: Bacteria
Description: partial 16S ribosomal RNA
Rfam family: Bacterial small subunit ribosomal RNA
Source: RNAcentral